Molecule: small nuclear RNA, 186 nt
Filed under: Myotis davidii
Lineage: Eukaryota; Metazoa; Chordata; Mammalia; Chiroptera; Vespertilionidae
Description: U2 spliceosomal RNA
Rfam family: U2 spliceosomal RNA
About the family: U2 is a small nuclear RNA (snRNA) component of the spliceosome (involved in pre-mRNA splicing). Complementary binding between U2 snRNA (in an area lying towards the 5' end but 3' to hairpin I) and the branchpoint sequence (BPS) of the intron results the bulging out of an unpaired adenosine, on the BPS, which initiates a nucleophilic attack at the intronic 5' splice site, thus starting the first of two transesterification reactions that mediate splicing.
Source: Rfam by way of RNAcentral
AUUGUUUUUCAGCUUUUUGGCUCAGAUCAAGUGUAGUAUCUGUUCUUAUCAGUUUAACAUCUGGUAUGUCCUCCAGCUGAAGACAUUUUGUUAAGUGGAUUUUUGGGGACAUGAAAUAGGACCUUGCUCUGUCCACGCCACGCAUCAAUCUGCUGUCUCAGUACUUCCAGGAGCAGUGAACCAGAA